RNAcentral lists this ribosomal RNA (233 nucleotides) under uncultured bacterium. Its description in RNAcentral is "partial 16S ribosomal RNA". It matches the Rfam family "Bacterial small subunit ribosomal RNA", at positions 28 to 260 of the family's 1533-position model. The record is from RNAcentral.
GACGAACGCUGGCGGCGUGCUUAACACAUGCAAGUCGAGCGGUAAGGCCCUUUCGGGGGUACGACGAGCGGCGAACGGGUGAGUAACACGUGGGUGACCUGCCCUCAGCUCUGGGAUAAGCCUGGGAAACGUGGGUCUAAUACCGGAUAUGACUCCAUGACGCAUGUUGUGGGGUGGAAAGCCUUGUGCGGCUGAGGAUGGGCCCGCGGCCUAUCAGCUUGUUGGGGGGGGUG